AACAAACUAUUAGGCAAAUGUUAGAUAUAAAACGUUUUGAUAUACUGACUAUUGCGCGUUACUUUUAGUUUGAUUAUUUUUGCCCUGACUUAAGACGUUUAUAUAGCAAAUGAAAGACUCGGGGUAAUGAUUAUGCAUUAACCUAUUUUGUUAACUAUUUUGACAUAAAUUUUCUCUAAGUUGUAUUGUCCACUAUAUGAAUAUAUAAUUUAAUAUUUCUUUUAAAAUGCAUGCUCACCUAAAAUACUGUUUUUAAAGGACUAUGAAAAAACAAAUGAAUCUAACAGCCAGAAAUAAAUGUAACAAAUUGAAUUGUUAUAAUUUAAUACACAUGGUUGAGAUACAUUUGUCCCUCACAGACCAUAUUGCCCCUCAUAUGAGCUUACGUCUUACUUUUAAUUGGCACUUAAAGCAUAUUGGAAAAUAUUUAUGCCUUGGUUUGAGAUGUGGUUAUAGGCCAAGGAAAUCAAAGGAAAUUAGCCUUCACAGGUAGCUUAUUAUGUCAUCCACAUGUUUAUCAUUUUGUCGAAUAACAAUUUUCUUUUCGUUGGCGCUUUAAUGUCUGAUAUAAAUUUUCUUUUGGUUGAUGUGUUACUAUUUAUUUAUUUUUUUCAUUUAAGGUAUAGACAUCAAAAAGGAAAGAGAAAAAAAAAAACCAAAACAAAAACUCUCAAAAAGGAGCCUCAGCCCCUCAGGGUUCGCUUUUAGAGCAAGUUCACCCGUUGGGUCAAAAUGUCUGGGUCACUGGGUCACUAGGUUAAGACACUAUUCAUUGCCACUGGACAUGUGUUUCCACCCAUUUUAUUUCUUAGCCGGUCAAUUACUGUUUAUUAAGUAUUAUUUUUUAUUUAUUAUCAAUGUAAAUUAUAUUUGUAGUAAAUAGAUGGUUAAGAUGGACAUCAUGAUUAUCUUAUAAAUAAGAUCCUUAAUUACUUUAGGCGAACAAAUCAAGAUAUAGAAAAAUAUAUAUAACCAAAAUGGAUAUAAAGGACAUUUAUACUGCAAUUUAAAAAUUUAGACACAUACGUAGAGUAGAGGUAAAUUAUAUAUAUAUAUAUAUUACGUUGAUUAUAUAUACAUAGGCUUAAUUGUAUUGAUUAAUUCAAAUUAAGGUUACUGUUAGUUUAAAAUUUCCAGAACCAAGGGCUAGCUUGCACGUGUCUGUCCACCCACCAAAGUUGCUGAUGUCAGCCAUUUGCUAGAGCUGGGCCGAGGUGGCAACCGGUUUGCCUGGGUCACACUUUAGGUCAGGAUUCUAGCCUUUCUCUUGACAUGGGUAAGCAAAUGUCAAAACUUGUCAAGCAACAACCGGUGGAAGCUAUCUUUUGAGAAAUUGAGGUCACCACCUCAGCCAACCUACGUGGAGGCCGGUUAAGAGAGCACCGGUGAACUUGCUCUUAGUGGUCAGUUUUGAGGCUCCUUUUUGUGGUCAGUUUUGCUUCGGUCCUCUUCUGAUAUUCAGCACUACCACACUUUGUAGUGUGCAUUGAGUUACGGUUCAUAGUAGAACUUGUAUAGAAAAAUUCAGAGAAUUUAACUAUUAAAAGUUGAUAUAUAUAUAGAGAGAUUUUCUCAGCUGCGGACGUCCGCACCGAUUUUUCGGUGCGGAUUUCCAUUUUUGCACCACUUCCCGAUCAAAUUUCCUCAAACUUCCUUCUAUACAUAUCUAGAUCAUCUUGUGUAGAUCAUCUCUGCAAAAUUUCAGCCAGUUUGGUGAUCGUUAAGGCCCUCAAAAUCGAAAAACAAAUCUGACGGACUGAAUUCUGUCCGGUUCAGGUAUAUAACAGAAAAACGCAAGUUUGAGGGCCUUAACGAUCACCAAAUUGGCUGAAAUUUNNN
This 1839-nucleotide long non-coding RNA is filed under the name Fragaria vesca (wild strawberry). Its description in RNAcentral is "long non-coding RNA (FVES_LNC003063)". Lineage: Eukaryota; Viridiplantae; Streptophyta; Magnoliopsida; Rosales; Rosaceae. The record is from RNAcentral.